GACCCCAAAAAGUCCUCUGAGCACAAAAAUUUGGUCCUGAUUUUAAAAUCCGUUCUUUCUUAACCUACACAUGCAAGUUUCCCCAUCCCCGUGAGUUACCCCUCUACCCCCACCCGGGUUAACAGGGUCGGAAUUAGGCACUAUAAUUAGCCCAAAACACCUAGCAAUAGCCACACCCAUAAGGGUUACAGCAGUGAUCAACAUUAGUAAUAAGUGUCAACUAGAUCUAGUUAAAGAAAACAGAGCCGGCAAAUACGGUGCCAGCCGCCGCGGUUAAACCCACAGGCUCAAAUUGAUUUUUUCCCGGCGUAAAGCGUGAUUAAAGUGCCAACAAACUAGAGUCUAACUCAAACUAAGCAGUGACAUGCUUGUUUUAAAGAACCCUAGAAACGAAAGUUACUCUACCCUAACAACUUGAAUCCACGAUAGCUAAGACAUAAACUGGGAUUAGGUACCCCACUAUACUUAGCCUUAAACUUUAAAUUACUUUUUCCCAU
This 497-nucleotide ribosomal RNA is filed under the name Ischnocnema parva. RNAcentral's name for it is "partial 12S ribosomal RNA". Lineage: Eukaryota; Metazoa; Chordata; Amphibia; Anura; Brachycephalidae. The record is from RNAcentral.